Molecule: ribosomal RNA, 760 nt
Filed under: uncultured Sulfobacillus sp.
Lineage: Bacteria; Bacillati; Bacillota; Clostridia; Eubacteriales; Clostridiales Family XVII. Incertae Sedis
Description: bacterial SSU rRNA
Rfam family: Bacterial small subunit ribosomal RNA
Source: RNAcentral
GCAGUCGAGCGGCCCUUCGCAAGGAGGGCAGCGGCGGACGGGUGAGGAACACGUGAGUAACCGACCGGCGGGUGGGGGAUAUCGGGCCGAAAGGCGCGGCAAUCCCGCAUACGGCCCCGGGGGGCAGGGCCCCGGGGGGAAAGUCUCGGCGACGAGACGCCCGCUGCCGGGCUCGCGGCCCAUUAGCUGGUUGGGGGGGUAACGGCCUCCCAAGGCGACGAUGGGUAGCCGGCCUGAGAGGGUGACCGGCCACACUGGGACUGAGACACGGCCCAGACUCCUACGGGAGGCAGCAGUAGGGAAUCUUCCACAAUGGGCGCAAGCCUGAUGGAGCAACGCCGCGUGAGUGAAGACGGCCUUCGGGUUGUAAAGCUCUGUUGGGCGGGACGAGGGCCCCGCGGACGCGGGGCGGGACGGUACCGCCGGAGGAAGCCCCUGCAAACUACGUGCCAGCAGCCGCGGUAAGACGUAGGGGGCAAGCGUUGUCCGGAAUUACUGGGCGUAAAGGGCGUGUAGGCGGCGCCGUACGUAGCGGUUUUAAGCCUCCGGCUCACCCGGAGGAGGGCGGCUAAACGGCGGGGCUGGAGGGCAGGAGAGGUGCACGGAAUUCCUGGUGGAGCGGUGAAAUGCGUAGAGAUCAGGAAGAACACCCGUGGCGAAGGCGGUGCACUGGCCUGGCCCUGACGCUGAGGCGCGACAGCGUGGGGAGCAAACGGGAUUAGAUACCCCGGUAGUCCACGCCGUAAACGAUGGGUACUAG